CCUGCCGUGCCCCACCCGAGUCAGGGCAUCCUUAGAAACAUCUCAAGACUUGCUGGAUGUUUGAAGGUCUCUCUGGAUUCCUGGCAGGUGGUCUGAUGCUUGAAGGUUUCCCACAGCUGGAUGGGAGGGAAUUCAGGAUGGAAGCACUGUGGUGGCACGGAUCUUGACAAUCAGUGUGGUAUCUCCUGUGCCCAGAACAUGCAUGGCACAGG
Symphalangus syndactylus (siamang) is the source of this 212-nucleotide long non-coding RNA. RefSeq lists it as uncharacterized. NCBI's taxonomy places the organism in Eukaryota, Metazoa, Chordata, Mammalia, Primates, Hylobatidae. The record is from RefSeq and is a predicted model, not a curated record.